This 1179-nucleotide long non-coding RNA is filed under the name Piliocolobus tephrosceles (Ugandan red Colobus). RNAcentral describes it as "lncRNA (ENSPTEG00000023259.1)". The record is from RNAcentral. Lineage: Eukaryota; Metazoa; Chordata; Mammalia; Primates; Cercopithecidae.
AUGGUAUGUUUUAGUAAUAUAAAGAGUAUAAUAUUUUUUUCAAAACUUUUACAUGCAUUUUUAGAUUAUUGUAACAGUAAAAUAGAUUAUUGGUCAACUAUUUAUAUUUUAUUAGCUUCGGCAAAUUUUUACGUAGAAAUUGAACAAAAGGAGAAUAAUAAUGAGGAAAAUAAAAAUAACGAUAUUUAUAACACUAGUGAUAUGAAUAUAAAUUCUUUACUUGAAAAAUACAAAGUUGAAUUGAACAAAAAAAGUGAUAAUAAUAAUGAUUUAUUAAAAUGUACAGAUGAUGAAAAUGAUUUAAUUAAACAAACAGAAAAAGAAAAAAUGUUAUUCGAAUACGAAGAAAAAAUUGUUAAUAGUGAUUUAUUUUUUUGUUUAGAUAAAGAACAGUAUACGAAUAAAUGUAAUUCUUCCGAAACUAAUAUUAAUAAUAAUGAUAAUAAUAAAAAAAAAAAUGUUAAUUAUGUAACUGAGUUGAAAAAUGAAAAGAACUCUAAAAAUGUGAUAAAUAUUUAUGAAUAUAAAAAAAAAGAACCGGAAGAUAUGGAUGAAAAACAGUUACCAGGUGAAGAAGUUGGAAAAAUAACAAGAGGGGAUGCGCCAAUUAGUGAUAAAAACAGUCAAGAUGAAGAGAGCUACCAAAGAAUGGAACAAAAUUAUGGCGAUAAAGUCCAAUGUAGAAUGGGUCAAGAUGAAAAAAAACAGUGCGAAGAAAAUCAGACGUUACCAAAAAAAGAAAAAAAAAAAAUAUUUUUACAUAAAUUUUUAUACGGACACAACAUAUGGAAUAGUAUAAAAUUAUGGGAAGUAAGUCUUUUAAUAAUUAUUUCGGAAAAUAUACAAGAACUUGUGUUGUUAGAGAAAUUACGUUAUGAAAAUAAAGAAUCAUUAAUAAAAAAAUAUUUUUUUUUUUUUAAAUUUUUUAAUUUUUAUAAUAGUAUGAUUGAUUAUGGAUUGUCAAUUAAUCAAAUUGGUUUUUUGUUAAAUCGAGUUUUUCAUCUUUUUCAUUUAAAAGAUGACCCAAUUGGGCGUAAAUAUUUUUUCCAAAUAAUAGAUCUAGCAAUAAAUAAAAACAUUACUGUAAAUUAUAUUAAAACUGACUCAAAUGAUUUCAACAACGAGUAUAAAAAGUAUUACUUACAAUAUUAUAACAACUAUGUUAAUUACGACAGUUGA